GGCUGUGGCUGGCAUCUUAAGACUUAGAAAAGAAAACUACUGAGUGGUGAAAGGCCUGUAGUUUGCAGACGGAACAAAAUUCCCCAAUUAUGCCCUAGUUCCAAUUCGAGAUCGGGAUGUUUCUUCCGACACCGUUAUUAGAUAAAAUCGACACCGAACGCAAGAACAGGCCUCAGAUUCCGGCGUGCGGUGGCGGUCGGAGAAAGAUAAAGACGAAAGAGAGCCUUCCGAUUGGAAAAACCAGGGUUUUGUGAGUUUUGGCUCGAG
This 267-nucleotide unclassified non-coding RNA is filed under the name Hevea brasiliensis (rubber tree). The record is from RNAcentral. Lineage: Eukaryota; Viridiplantae; Streptophyta; Magnoliopsida; Malpighiales; Euphorbiaceae.